RNAcentral lists this unclassified non-coding RNA (323 nucleotides) under Hevea brasiliensis (rubber tree). The record is from RNAcentral. Lineage: Eukaryota; Viridiplantae; Streptophyta; Magnoliopsida; Malpighiales; Euphorbiaceae.
GAGAAAGCCAAGAGAUUGGGGGGCGAUGCUUUGCAAUGUUGGUCCGAGAUCGAAUUGUGAUAGAGGUGGAAAGCAGAUCAGUGGUAGUAAAUGGGAAGCUCGAAUCAAGUGCUUUCAUCCAAACGGAUAAUCGGUGCAAGAUCAAAGAACAGAUUGAAGUGACAGAGCAAUUCUUUCCCAUUAAAAAUUCUGUCAUUUCGAGCCAACUAGAUUGACCAGAUGAUUGCAAAGAAGAUAUUAGACAAGAAUCUUGUUUGGAAUUUCCCACUACUAAGAAACUUCCACUCUUCAAAGAGCAAAUGGACUGAUUGAGGAACAACAAA